This 495-nucleotide ribosomal RNA is filed under the name uncultured bacterium. RNAcentral's name for it is "partial 16S ribosomal RNA". It matches the Rfam family "Bacterial small subunit ribosomal RNA", at positions 28 to 507 of the family's 1533-position model. The record is from RNAcentral.
GACGAACGCUGGCGGCGUGCCUAAUACAUGCAAGUAGAACGCUGAAGGAGGAGCUUGCUUCUCUGGAUGAGUUGCGAACGGGUGAGUAACGCGUAGGUAACCUGCCUGGUAGCGGGGGAUAACUAUUGGAAACGAUAGCUAAUACCGCAUAAGAGUAGAUGUUGCAUGACAUUUGCUUAAAAGGUGCAAUUGCAUCACUACCAGAUGGACCUGCGUUGUAUUAGCUAGUUGGUGGGGUAACGGCUCACCAAGGCGACGAUACAUAGCCGACCUGAGAGGGUGAUCGGCCACACUGGGACUGAGACACGGCCCAGACUCCUACGGGAGGCAGCAGUAGGGAAUCUUCGGCAAUGGACGGAAGUCUGACCGAGCAACGCCGCGUGAGUGAAGAACGUUUUCGGAUCGUAAAGCUCUGUUGUAAGAGAAGAACGAGUGUGAGAGUGGAAAGUUCACACUGUGACGGUAUCUUACCAGAAAGGGACGGCUAACUACGUG